This 422-nucleotide ribosomal RNA is filed under the name uncultured Thiobacillus sp. RNAcentral's name for it is "bacterial SSU rRNA". It matches the Rfam family "Bacterial small subunit ribosomal RNA", at positions 952 to 1382 of the family's 1533-position model. Lineage: Bacteria; Pseudomonadati; Pseudomonadota; Betaproteobacteria; Nitrosomonadales; Thiobacillaceae. The record is from RNAcentral.
CGAUGCAACGCGAAAACCUUACUACCUUGACAUGUCCGGAAUCCUGCAGAGAUGCGGGAGUGCCGAAAGGGAAUCGGAACACAGGUGCUGCAUGGCUGUCGUCAGCUCGUGUCGUGAGAUGUUGGGUUAAGUCCCGCAACGAGCGCAACCCUUAUCAUUAGUUGCUACGCAAGGGCACUCUAAUGAGACUGCCGGUGACAAACCGGAGGAAGGUGGGGAUGACGUCAAGUCCUCAUGGCCCUUAUGGGUAGGGCUUCACACGUCAUACAAUGGUCGGUACAGAGGGUUGCCAAGCCGCGAGGUGGAGCCAAUCCCAGAAAGCCGAUCGUAGUCCGGAUUGUUCUCUGCAACUCGAGAGCAUGAAGUCGGAAUCGCUAGUAAUCGCGGAUCAGCAUGUCGCGGUGAAUACGUUCCCGGGUCUU